This 230-nucleotide ribosomal RNA is filed under the name uncultured bacterium. Its description in RNAcentral is "partial 16S ribosomal RNA". It matches the Rfam family "Bacterial small subunit ribosomal RNA", at positions 524 to 751 of the family's 1533-position model. The record is from RNAcentral.
UACAGAGGGUGCGAGCGUUGUCCGGAAUCACUGGGCGUAAAGGGCGCGUAGGUGGCGUCGCAAGUCGAUGGUGAAAGCUCGGCGCUCAACGCCGAGUCGGCCCUUGAUACUGCGAGGCUGGAGCACUGUAGAGGCAGAUGGAAUUCCGGGUGUAGCGGUGGAAUGCGUAGAGAAUCCGGAAGAACACCGGUGGCGAAGGCGGUCUGCUGGGGCAGUUGCUGACACUGAGG